RNAcentral lists this non-coding RNA (1170 nucleotides) under Drosophila persimilis. RNAcentral's name for it is "Eukaryotic large subunit ribosomal RNA". It matches the Rfam family "Eukaryotic large subunit ribosomal RNA", at positions 1365 to 2304 of the family's 3401-position model. The record is from Rfam by way of RNAcentral. Lineage: Eukaryota; Metazoa; Arthropoda; Insecta; Diptera; Drosophilidae.
UUUUGAACUUUAGUGAGUAGGAAGGUACAAUGGUAUGCGUAGAAGUGUUUGGCGUAAGCCUUCAUGGAGCUGCCAUUGGCACAGAUCUUGGUGGUAGUAGCAAAUAAUCGAAUGAGACCUUGGAGGACUGAAGUGGAGAAGGGUUUCGUGUGAACAGUGGUCGAUCGAGUUAGUCGGUCCUAAGUUCAAGGCGAAAGCCGAAAAUUUUCAAGUAAAAAAUCAGUGAGUAAUAUUGUCAAAUCUUUUAUGAUUUUUAAAUACUUGAAUAAUUUUGAACGAAAGGGAAUACGGUUCCAAUUCCGUAACCUGUUGAGUAUCCGUUUGUUAUUAAAUAUGGGCCUCGUGCUCAUCCUGGCAACAGGAACGACCAUAAAGAAGCCGUCGAGAGAUAUCGGAAGAGUUUUCUUUUCUGUUUUAUAGCCGUACUACCAUGGAAGUCUUUCGCAGAGAGAUAUGGUAGAUGGGCUAGAAGAGCAUGACAUAUACUGUUGUGUCGAUAUUUUCUCCUCGGACCUUGAAAAUUUAUGGUGGGACACGCAAACUUCUCAACAGGCCGUACCAAUAUCCGCAGCUGGUCUCCAAGGUGAAGAGUCUCUAGUCGAUAGAAUAAUGUAGGUAAGGGAAGUCGGCAAAUUAGAUCCGUAACUUCGGGAUAAGGAUUGGCUCUGAAGAUUGAGAUAGUCGGGCUUGAUUGGGAAACAAUAACAUGGUUUAUGUGCUCGUUCUGGGUAAAUAGAGUUUCUAUCAUUUAUGGUAGUUACUUGUUCCCCGGAUAGUUUAGUUAAGUAGCCAAUUGUGGAACUUUCUUGCUAAAAUUUUUAAGAAUACUAAUUGGGUUAAACCAGUUAGUUCUUAUUAAUUAUAACGAUUAUCAAUUAACAAUCAAUUCAGAACUGGCACGGACUUGGGGAAUCCGACUGUCUAAUUAAAACAAAGCAUUGUGAUGGCCCUAGCGGGUGUUGACACAAUGUGAUUUCUGCCCAGUGCUCUGAAUGUCAAAGUGAAGAAAUUCAAGUAAGCGCGGGUCAACGGCGGUAGUAACUAUGACUCUCUUUAAUCACUUUAUAUCGCAACUUUAGAUAUAAGCAAAGCAUUUGACUCGGUGUCUCAUGCAGCAGUUAGCGCCACUCUAACUGCAUAUGGUGCCCCUAAAGAAUUCGUUGACUACGU